UUUUUGGUUUCGUUUUGGUCCCUUAACUUAUUUUUUGGUUUCGUUUUGGUCCCUUAACUUAUUUUUUGGUUUCAUUUUGGUCCCUUAACUCUAAUACAUUCAUCCUAACAUAAAGGACCAAAGUGGUUGACGGAGGAAGAGUUAAGGGACCAAAACGAAACCAAAAAAUAAGUUAAGGGACCAAAAUGAAACUUUUAGUAGUUAAGGGACCAAAACGAAACCAAAAAGUAAGUUAAGGGACCAAAACGAAACCAAAAAGUAAGUUAAGGGACCAAAACGAAACUUUUAAUAGUUAAGGGA
This is a microRNA precursor of Medicago truncatula (barrel medic), 300 nucleotides long. It matches the Rfam family "MIR2655 microRNA precursor family". The record is from Rfam. Lineage: Eukaryota; Viridiplantae; Streptophyta; Magnoliopsida; Fabales; Fabaceae.